Molecule: long non-coding RNA, 1454 nt
Organism: Bombyx mori (domestic silkworm)
Lineage: Eukaryota; Metazoa; Arthropoda; Insecta; Lepidoptera; Bombycidae
Exons: 3
Source: RefSeq, a predicted model, not a curated record
CUUGUAACCGCCGCCACAAUUGCCUGAAUAAUCUAAUACAAAUGUGCACAGUAUACAAGUAUUCCAAUUUAAACAACUGUCUUCUAUUAUUAUUAACUAUAAGCAGCUAUGUUUCAAUAUAAGACAGUCGCAUGCGAGUGCAGAGUCAGGUGCCAUGUUUCUUCGAUCCAAUGGCUAGAAGCCUUUAGUAUCGUAUCUCAUUUCAUAACAUUACAAUGUUUAUAGGCACUGCAAAUUCUUAAGAAAUGAAACCGAUGCACAAACGACAGUUUACGCUUUGGACACGUGCGUGUUUGGUCAUUUGAGUGUCAUGUUCCACAACAUUCGUGCUAGAUGUGAUUAAAAAUUCCAGAUGACACUCCACGGUGAACAGUGCAAGGUGAAUCAUACGGUAUCGUGACCUGUAAAAUCCAAGAGCAUAAAAGUGGGCGGCUUCGCAGUCGCUGUGUGAGACAUGCCGAUUGAUAUAUUACUCAAAGUAGCCAACCUUCAGGAUACCACUGACUCUAUCUCCCAUUCUCCUAUUUCAGGUCGGCGGCCGAACCUCCUUCGAGGUCCCCGGCGUAUGAGGGACUUGACGAUUUCCAGAUGUUGGGAUGAAACCGCGGGCCCAAGGAGUUUUAGGGCCCUACCGCACCAAACGACUGCCCUGCACUCUUACACCCGAUGACUUACUAAUACUAGCCCUAACAGGAGCAGUGCUUCACUGUAUCUACUACCGGAAUUGCGCCCCACUGAGAAGAUUCGGCGAGAAAUCCAAUGGUUUGAGUUUACGGGCUACUUUGCACAUUAGCAUCGUGCUCGUGUUCAAUCGUAAUCAAAAAACGUACAUCACUGUCCGACCCUAAGCGACUUUCAAGCUUAAAGAACAACAACAUCAUCAUCACCAUCAUCAGCCCACAGUCGUCCACUGCUAGACAUAGGCCUCGCGCAAUCCAUAGAACUUGAUAUUAGUAUGAUAAGGUGUAUUGUAAAGCUACAUGGGUAAGCAUUAUAACCUUGCUUAUAUCUGCCGCGAAACAAUCACAAUUUUCAUUUUAUUUUGAAUUAAUUUUGUCAUAAAAGGGUCGCAUUCCUGUUGUGAUGUCUAUGGACCCUAUAAACCAAUGAACACCAACCAGGUGAACCGUAAACUCAUAAAUUCAUCUAUGCAAUAAAAUAAAGGAAAAACUCUUGUACGAUAUGAAAUGUAAUUUUCGCAAUAACAUGACUUAAAUUAAACCAGAUGUUAAACAUCUGGAUCACUUGACUUGAUUCUGUUCUACUGAUUGUAGCCUCAGUAUCGUAAACACGAAGGUGCAAAACGCUAUAAAUCGCUUCCGGUUUUGUUAGAUGGACAAUGAAAUUAAUAAAUAAAUGAAUUAUUGUUUUAUUUGUCUCACUGUAGGUUUUUAGCUGGAAAACUUGUAUCCUCCUCGAUUCUGUCUAAAUAAAUUCAGAGCUUGUUGUCAAAA